GAUCGCACACAGUUGCAUUCGCGGUGAGCACCGCGUGUGCCGACACGGUAAUGGUGAGACAGCACCAAAACAGCCAUAGGAGCGAAAGCGACAGCAUGUACUCGAAGGAAAUAUCCCUCUGCUUGAAAAAAUAUCCUUGUCAUACGGGCAAUCCGACAAAUCGAUCGAUCGAUAAAAAAUCUACCGACAAAUCGAUCGAUCGACUGUCAAAGUUUGGCAACACCGUUUAUCCGGUUUCCGGAUUUUAUUUCAUUUCGACGGCGAGGUUUGUGCUUUUAUGCUGCUUUGGUGUGCUGCUUUGGUGUGCUGCUUUUUUCUGUGGAAAAAAAUGGAAAUUGCAAUUGUGCGAACAAAAGGUGAGCUAGUGAAAACAGUUUUUGGAAAAAAAUACAAUUGUGCGAACAAAAGGAUUAUGAAGAUGUGCUGCUGGAGGACAACUCGGUUAAUCAGGCACCGCCCCCGGAUCAGGCAGGCCCCUCGCAUUCGGAUCAGGCAGGCCCCCGGCAUUCGGAUCAGGCAGGCCUCCCCCCGACACCACCGACAGGAUACACUACCACCAGCCGGCGCCGGACGCGCAGAGCGGGGCGGCGUGCCCGCCGUGAGCGGGAGGCGAAGCGCCGCCUUGCUCACCGCGCACACAUGGCCUACCUAGAUAUGGUGGCCAUGGUCCGAAAUGCCCAACGCUACGCGAUGCGUGGGUUCCGCGCAUGUGGCCGCGGACGUGGCCGCGGUCGCGGCCGCGGAGGAGCAUAAUUUCUCGCUCGUAAUUAGUGGCUCUAAAUAAAAAGAGAUAUUUAGAAAA
Molecule: RNA transcript, 802 nt
Organism: Anopheles darlingi
Lineage: Eukaryota; Metazoa; Arthropoda; Insecta; Diptera; Culicidae
Exons: 2
Source: RefSeq, a predicted model, not a curated record